UACGUAGGGUGCAAGCGUUAAUCGGAAUUACUGGGCGUAAAGCGUGCGCAGGCGGUGAUGUAAGACAGAUGUGAAAUCCCCGGGCUCAACCUGGGAACUGCAUUUGUGACUGCAUCGCUGGAGUGCGGCAGAGGGGUAUGGAAUUCCGCGUGUAGCAGUGAAAUGCGUAGAUAUGCGGAGGAACACCGAUGGCGAAGGCAAUCCCCUGGGCCUGCACUGACGCUCAUGCACGAAAGCGUGGGGAGCAAACAGG
RNAcentral lists this ribosomal RNA (253 nucleotides) under uncultured bacterium. Its description in RNAcentral is "partial 16S ribosomal RNA". It matches the Rfam family "Bacterial small subunit ribosomal RNA", at positions 524 to 776 of the family's 1533-position model. The record is from RNAcentral.